This 398-nucleotide ribosomal RNA is filed under the name Helicobacter pullorum. RNAcentral's name for it is "bacterial SSU rRNA". It matches the Rfam family "Bacterial small subunit ribosomal RNA", at positions 65 to 493 of the family's 1533-position model. The record is from RNAcentral. Lineage: Bacteria; Pseudomonadati; Campylobacterota; Epsilonproteobacteria; Campylobacterales; Helicobacteraceae.
AACGAUGAAGCUUUUAGCUUGCUAGAAGUGGAUUAGUGGCGCACGGGUGAGUAAUGCAUAGGUUAUGUGCCCUUUAGUCUGGGAUAGCCACUGGAAACGGUGAUUAAUACUAGAUACUCCCUACGGGGGAAAGUUUUUCGCUAAAGGAUCAGCCUAUGUCCUAUCAGCUUGUUGGUGAGGUAAUGGCUCACCAAGGCUAUGACGGGUAUCCGGCCUGAGAGGGUGAUCGGACACACUGGAACUGAGACACGGUCCAGACUCCUACGGGAGGCAGCAGUAGGGAAUAUUGCUCAAUGGGGGAAACCCUGAAGCAGCAACGCCGCGUGGAGGAUGAAGGUUUUCGGAUUGUAAACUCCUUUUGUUAGAGAAGAUAAUGACGGUAUCUAACGAAUAAGCAC